AUACAUGUACAUUUCAUGUAAGGGUUAGAAAAAAGAUAAAAGAUGUAUAGGGCAGAAACAAUAGAUUUCACGCAUGUCUCUUGUUCAUGGUCUUUUUGGCGCAACAGUAUAGUUACUCUGUUGUAACUUGGGUGAUGAGUUUGAAACAAGAAAAUGACUUCUCUGGAUAAGGCUGCAUACACUUAACCCCCUUCCAAACCUCAUAGUGGUUGGAGCCUCAUACACAUGGUUUCAGUCUACUCUCUGUUGGGGGAUGGGGGGACACCUUUAGUCCCAUAUUGCUUGUGUGACGAAGAGGUUUGUGCCUUAAAUGGAGGGGCUCCCUCCUUUCUCUUCGGAGGCGCCUUUUAGGGCAAAACCGUGAGAGGUGGAAAGCGACCCGCGACUGCCCGAGCAGCAGCGUGAGGCCGACCCCCAAAGCGGACAAUACCUUCGGAGAGAAACACAGAUACUUUUCACCCACAACAAAUGGUGCGGUGAGCGUGGACCUCCCUAUACCCUGUAAAACCGCGAGGUGGAAUCACAGACCUCUCCGUCAGGGGGGGCUGUGUUGGGGGAUGAAGGGACACCUUUAGUCCCAUACUGCUUGUGUGACGAAGAGGUCUGUGCCUUAAAUGGGGGGCUCCCUCCUUUCUCUUCGGAGGUGUCUUUUGGGGCAAAACCGUGAGGGGUGGAAAGCGACCCGCGACUGCCCGAGCAGUAGCGUGAGGCCGACCCCCAAAGCGGACAAUACCUUCGAAGAGAAACACAGAUACUUUUUGCCCACAACACUCUCCAUUCGAGUUUAUGCAUUAUUAUAAGUUAGACAUUCCAAUUCUCUAAGAAAAUCGAGUCUCAUCUUGAAUGCAAUGCGCAACCAGCAAUAUUUGCACGUUGCCAUGGCUUGCUGAACUUUUUGAAUUCAAACUAAUGGUGGAACGGUAGGAAGAGAUGGAUGUUUGGACCAGAACUCUUGGCCUUCUGGCUGGGUUAAAAAUCCUUGAGUGCAUAC
RNAcentral lists this long non-coding RNA (991 nucleotides) under Phoenix dactylifera (date palm). RNAcentral describes it as "long non-coding RNA (PDAC_LNC016470)". Lineage: Eukaryota; Viridiplantae; Streptophyta; Magnoliopsida; Arecales; Arecaceae. The record is from RNAcentral.